AGAGUUUGAUCCUGGCUCAGGAUAAACGCUGGCGGCGUGCCUAACACAUGCAAGUCGAACGCUCUCUUGCCGCAAGGUGAGAGGGAGUGGCGGACGGGUGAGUAACACAUGGGAAUCGACCCAUUCGUGAGGAAUACCACCGAGAAAUCGGUGACAAUACCGCAUACGCUUUCUUCGGGAAGCAAAGCUCUUCGCAAGAGGGGCGCGAGUGGACGAGCCUGUGCCUGAUUAGCUAGUUGGUGGGGUAAGAGCCUACCAAGGCUGCGAUCAGUCGCUGGUCUGAGAGGAUGAUCAGCCACACUGGGAUUGAGAACGGCCCAGACUCCUACGGGGGGCAGCAGUGAGGAAUAUUCGGCAAUGGGGGCAACCCUGACCGAGCAACGCCGCGUGCAGGAAGACGGCCUUCGGGUUGUAAACUGCUUUUCUGGGGGAAGAGAACGGACGGUACCCCAGGAAGAAGCUCCGGCUAACUACGUGCCAGCAGCCGCGGUAAUACGUAGGGAGCGAGCGUUGUCCGGAGUUACUGGGCGUAAAGCGCACGCAGGCGGUCUGUCGCGUUCGUGCCGACAGCGACUCGCCUAACGAGUCGAGGAGUACGGAAACGGGCAGACUUGAGGGCCAGAGAGGGACACGGAACUCCGGGUGGAGUGGUGAAAUGCGUAGAGAUCCGGAAGAACACCAAAGGCGAAGGCAGUGUCCUGGUUGGUACCUGACGCUCAGAGGCGACAGCUAGGGGAGCGAACGGGAUUAGAUACCCCGGUAGUCC
This 766-nucleotide ribosomal RNA is filed under the name uncultured bacterium. Its description in RNAcentral is "bacterial SSU rRNA". It matches the Rfam family "Bacterial small subunit ribosomal RNA", at positions 8 to 796 of the family's 1533-position model. The record is from RNAcentral.